AUCGCUUCUCGGCCUUUUGACUAAGAUCAAGCAAGUGUAGUAUCUGUUCUUACCAGUUUAAUAUCUGAUAUGUUCUUUAUCCGAGAACAAUAUAUAUUGAAUGGAUUCUUGGAGCAGGGAGAUGGAAUAGGAGCUUGCUCCUUCCACUCCACGCAUCGACCUGGUAUUGCAGUACUUCCAGGAACGGUGCACCCCCA
Small nuclear RNA from Mirounga angustirostris (Northern elephant seal), 197 nucleotides. RefSeq annotates it as U2 spliceosomal RNA. The transcript has a single exon. NCBI's taxonomy places the organism in Eukaryota, Metazoa, Chordata, Mammalia, Carnivora, Phocidae. The record is from RefSeq and is a predicted model, not a curated record.